This 19-nucleotide small RNA is filed under the name Arabidopsis thaliana (thale cress). Its description in RNAcentral is "Ath_wt_20418". Lineage: Eukaryota; Viridiplantae; Streptophyta; Magnoliopsida; Brassicales; Brassicaceae. The record is from RNAcentral.
GCACCGCACGUCGCGUGGU